Molecule: long non-coding RNA, 2020 nt
Organism: Portunus trituberculatus (swimming crab)
Lineage: Eukaryota; Metazoa; Arthropoda; Malacostraca; Decapoda; Portunidae
Exons: 5
Source: RefSeq, a predicted model, not a curated record
GAAUGGUGACGAGGCUGAAGUAUCACACUUCCCACACACCAUCUAUCAAUUCGGGAAAUUUUUCACAGAGCAAUAUCACACUAAUACAUUAUCUUCGCCUCAGUCAAUUGUACAGUCAGAUCUUGAAAGAAUAUUUGAAUAUGUGGAGACAACACUUCUUGCACGGGUCACGAUACUACAGAAGUGAAGAGCACGAACAAACACUUCUGGUGAGCAUUGAAGAGGUGAGCAGAGCCUGUGUGCCGCCCAGCGCUUCCCUUGGCUUGUGGUGAGGCAAGGAGGGAGGGAAAGGCUGGGAAGGAAGAGCCUGGGGCGAGAACGUGCACCAUGGAAGGAUGGAAGGAAGCACAUCACAGUAUCCUCAGUAAAAUGUUCCCAACCUAACCUCAUCCAAUCUGAAACAAUGUAAUUGAAUGUACCGUAACCUAAUCUUACCUAACAAUGGAAUGAAGGUAAAAUAACCUAACUUGAUUUCAUCUCACAUAAUUCAAGUUUACUUGAGCUAACCAAACUUCACCAAUUGAAUAUAACUCAACCUAACUAACCUAUCAAGCUAACCUUUCCUGACCUAACCUAACCUAACCCGUCAACGCCUCCUGCCGUUUUGGAAUAUUGGAGCUCUUGGGCGUUGUGGGAGUCCCGGCAGUGUGUGCGGGGCGUGGCCAGUGCCUGUCACCACUGAGAGUGCCAUGAGGAGCGCCACACCUCAUCCGCCCUCGACAUGGAGCGACGCGUCCUGCUGGUGAUCCUACUGGUGUGUGCCUGCCUGCUGGCCUCUGCCGUGGCCUUUCCUCUGCCUGAACCGCUGUCUGGAAACAGAUUCCGUCCUCGUGAAGCCAACAGAUGCCUUUGCUAUACUUUCCCGUGUAACUGUGGAUGGGGCCGCACACCUCUUCGGUAAUGAGGAAAACGCCUGACCUCUGGAGCCUCUACAUGACCUGACCUGAACUCACCUGUUCUGAACCAACAAGCCUCAGGAUGAAAAAUAAAACAAAAUAGAGACUCUUCCUUCUCACUUCUCACUUGCAUUCACGCCUAAUAAAGCCUGCAAUAUCUGUUCAUGCUUGAUAUUAGUUUGGUGUUCCUUUGCCUCGCUGCACGCUGGCUGUCUGGUGGAGGCACAAGAAAGGCUUGCAAGCGUCAUUUAGAAAAGUUAACCUUACAUCUUACACACUUCUGUUCUUACAAUAAGCAAAUCGCAUCGAAUCACUAAGACUUUCCAAUCUUUUCACAUAAACAACAUUUGCGUUAGAUGUGAGAGCAAUUCAUUAAAAUGUUUUGGAAAUGCAAUUUUGGCAACGCGUUUGAUAUGGGAAAGUAUCCAUAGGUGAGACACUGCAUCCCCUGGCUGAUGGAGUCCCGGAACAGCCGCUGCCGCUCCGACGCCCAGUGGCUUUCCCACACACAUUGACAUAGGCAGGAGUGUCCGUGUCGCCUGGUGCACUUGUUGGCAGUACAGUAGUGUGUUUCCCGCAAUGGUGACAAAAAAGGGAAGGAAUGGCCGAGUUAAGAUGGCUAUUUACCUCGCCGCGGCAGGUGCACCAUAGUGAAGGGAAGGCCAGAGGGAACAUAACAUGGCCUGGUGGGGAAGCCCUCGCCAGGUGUCCACAACCCGGCAGCACCUGGCACUCUGUUCCGGCAGGUAUAUGAGGAGGCAAGCCCCAACCAGUGCCACACUUCGACAUGGAGCGACGUACCCUACUGAUUGUCCUGCUUGUGUGCAGCUUUCUGCUGCUGGCUGUCUUCGCUGAGCCCUCGCCUCGGGUGAGUGGCCGCCGCUCCAGGUUCAGCAGAACGCCGUUUUUUGGCGGACCAGGCUGUAAGUGCUUCAGGUUACCGUGUUAUUGUGCCCAAUACGGUUAACCCGGCCAGCGAACUCUCUGGCUUCCAGACACUGCUCCCUCGCACCACACGACACUCGCCAUGGAUGGAAAGCGCUGACUCUUGGUUCUUCGGAUGAAUUAACAAAUUAACGGAAAAUUUUGCUUUGCACUUAGUGGUAAAUAAAAUCACAGCAAUU